RNAcentral lists this ribosomal RNA (735 nucleotides) under Triticum aestivum (bread wheat). RNAcentral describes it as "partial small subunit ribosomal RNA". The record is from RNAcentral. Lineage: Eukaryota; Viridiplantae; Streptophyta; Magnoliopsida; Poales; Poaceae.
AUGAACAUCUUGGCCUGGAACUGUCGGGGACUGGGGUUGGACUCGACAGUAGGCGAACUUCGCGACCUGAUUAGGUCCUACAACCCGACGGUGGUCUUUUUAAGUGAAACUAAGAAGAAGGCGAGAGCGAUGGAGAAGAUCAAGUGGAGCAUGGGGUUUAGAUAUGGUGUCGCGGUGGAUUGUCAAGGACAAAGUGGUGGUCUCGCUAUGUGGUGGCGGGACCAUCUGCAGGUCACAGUUAGGCCGUGGUGUCAUUAUUUCAUUGAUGCUCGGGUGGUAUUCAAGGAGAAAACCUGUAGGAUCACUGGAUUCUACGAAGAACCUGAUGUGGAGCAAAGGAAGAAGUCCUGGGAUGCACUGCGUUUUCUAAGGAGGCAAGACAAUCUGCCGUGGAUCUGUGUCGGUGACUUCAAUGAAGCUAUGUUUUACACGGAGCAGAUGGGGGGAACAGGAGGAACUUGCUGCAAAUGGAAGAUUUCAAGGAGUGCCUUACGGAUUGUGGCCUGGCUGACCUUGGCUACUCUGGAUAUCCUUUCACCUAGAAUAACAAACGUGAAGGUGAUGACAAUAUUCAAGUGCGCCUGGACAGAGGCACCUGCAAUGAUGAUUUCCUUGCUUUGUUCCCGGCUUCUCAUAUUGACCAUAUCAUUACGGAGGAAUCGGAUCACGUGGCGCUGGUGGUUCAUGUACUGGAGACUGCUCCGGCGCAUGAGCCGCAGGGGGGCGGCCCUUUAG